CUCGCCUUCCCUUUUCCUCCUGGAUCCCUUCGUGGGCACGUAUCUCCCCGGCGGCGAAACAGCCGACAACAAGAAGACUUUGCUGUCCUCUGGAGCCAAGAGGGCGUUCGGGUUCCCUGCGGACCUCGAUUGCGAUGCGCUCAUGCGGGGCCUGGCGCUAGAAGCAGACCUUGCUGGUGCGCCAGAUCUGUCCCGCCUGACCCUCCGAGGCGUCCGCCCGUUCUCCACUUGUAUCCAUGCCGUCGACAAGAACCUGAUUAUCAUGACAACUUCCUUUCCUAAAGUUUACCCCCGGGGUAUCUAUCUCAUCUACAACGCAAUUGACAGAUCGCUCCUCAUGAUCCCGUCUGCGCCCAGCACACCCCCUUCCGUCCUUACGUCCCGUGUUCUUGUUGCGCGCCGCCGGGACGACGACAUCAGCUCCUACGCCCUGGUCUUUCCCGGGACCGUCUACGUCAUAGGCUGUCCUGGACGGCAGCCUGUUCUCUUCGUGUCGGGGUCCUCAUCCAAGUCUCAGUGGGAGAUUGCGAAGUUCACUAAUUUCCCCGACCAUCUGCUCGCUGAGAAAAGCGACUUCCUUGCUGAAGAUGUGUUUUCCCACCGUGGCCGUGGUUACUGGGUGGAUCUCUUGCUUGGUGGCAUGUACUGUGACUGCGUUGAUCUUCUCUCCGGCCAGCGUUCCGUGGACGUCCGCUCCCCUAGGCCUGCCUGUGGGGUGCGAGAGUUACCUCGGCUGCAGAGACUACAUACCAGAGGUGAGGGCCUUUCGAGCCGUGGGCUGUGUCGGGGACUCCAUCAAGUUUGUCUCCAUCACCGGCUUCCUUGAGCGUGUGGAUCUUGCGGAUGACCGCAUGGUGAGGGUCUGGAAACUCAAGGAAGAUAUGAGUUGGGAUUUAGACUACGAGCUCAAGUUUGGGAGCCUGCGCGAAGAUGGGGCUUUCAAAGGGAACCACCUGCCGACCUCCAUGGCACCCAUGUACCCCUUCCUCAGCAUGCAGGAAGACCGUGUCAUCUACUUUGCACUGGGUGAGUACAUGUACCAGGACCCGGAGUUCUGCUUUCCAUCCACGCCGAGCUUCUGGGUCCGUGUUGAUAUGAGUAUCAAGACUUUUAACUGCACGCCUAUCUCUCUCACGGACGCCAGCAUUGGUUGUCUUCUUGCUAUGUCCGGCAAUGCUGAGGGCGAUCUUGCUUGGACUUCCCAGCCAAGCCAACUUCUGAAGCCAUGUCCUGUUAGUUAGGGAGGGGCAAUAUGGAAGCACCAGAUCAAGUAUCAGGAAUCAUGAAGUUUGGUUAUCUUUUUAUUUUGCCUAUUUAUAUUAACAAGAUGUUUAUCUGGCUCAAGUCAAUCCCUUGUUUAUUUGCUUUUGUUGGAGUGAGAAACUGUUGUGUUUGGCUGCAACUUGUCCCAUGAGAUUCCUGUUUGAUGACAUUCUUGUGAGAUCCUUAUUCUCGUGCUUGUAUUAUCAUGGAUACAGUUUCUAUCCUUAUACCAUUUUGUUUGCAAAGUACUGCAG
Molecule: ribosomal RNA, 1517 nt
Filed under: Triticum aestivum (bread wheat)
Lineage: Eukaryota; Viridiplantae; Streptophyta; Magnoliopsida; Poales; Poaceae
Description: partial small subunit ribosomal RNA
Source: RNAcentral